AAAAGCAGUCGGUUAAUACCCGAUUGUUCUGACGGUACCCAAAGAAUAAGCACCGGCUAACUUCGUGCCAGCAGCCGCGGUAAUACGAAGGGUGCAAGCGUUACUCGGAAUUACUGGGCGUAAAGCGUGCGUAGGUGGUGGUUUAAGUCUGUUGUGAAAGCCCUGGGCUCAACCUGGGAAUUGCAGUGGAUACUGGGUCACUAGAGUGUGGUAGAGGGUAGCGGAAUUCCCGGUGUAGCAGUGAAAUGCGUAGAGAUCGGGAGGAACAUCCGUGGCGAAGGCGGCUACCUGGACCAACACUGACACUGAGGCACGAAAGCGUGGGGAGCAAACAGGAUUAGAUACCCUGGUAGUCCACGCCCUAAACGAUGCGAACUGGAUGUUGGGUGCAAUUUGGCACGCAGUAUCGAAGCUAACGCGUUAAGUUCGCCGCCUGGGGAGUACGGUCGCAAGACUGA
This 458-nucleotide ribosomal RNA is filed under the name Xanthomonas sp. RNAcentral describes it as "bacterial SSU rRNA". It matches the Rfam family "Bacterial small subunit ribosomal RNA", at positions 449 to 897 of the family's 1533-position model. The record is from RNAcentral. Lineage: Bacteria; Pseudomonadati; Pseudomonadota; Gammaproteobacteria; Lysobacterales; Lysobacteraceae.